CACGUAGUUAGCCGUGGCUUUCUGAUUAGGUACCGUCAAGACGUGCACAGUUACUUACACACUUGUUCUUCCCUAAUAACAGAGUUUUACGAUCCGAAGACCUUCAUCACUCACGCGGCGUUGCUCCGUCAGGCUUUCGCCCCAUUGCGGAAGAUUCCCUACUGCUGCCUCCCGUAGGAGUCUGGACCGUGUCUCAGUUCCAGUGUGGCCGAUCACCCUCUCAGGUCGGCUACGCAUCGUUGCCUUGGUAAGCCGUUACCUUACCAACUAGCUAAUACGGCGCGGGUCCAUCUAUAAGUGAUAGCAAAACCAUCUUUCACUUUAGAACCAUGCGGUUCUAAAUGUUAUCCGGCAUUAGCCCCGGUUUCCCGGAGUUAUUCCAGUCUUAUAGGUAGGUUACCCAGUGUUACUCACCCGUCCGCCGCUAACGUCAAAGGAGCAAGCUCCUCAUCUGUUCGCUCGACUUGCAUGUAUUAGCACGCCGCCAGCGUUUCAUCCUGACGCCGAAGGAUAC
This 514-nucleotide ribosomal RNA is filed under the name uncultured Staphylococcus sp. Its description in RNAcentral is "partial 16S ribosomal RNA". The record is from RNAcentral. Lineage: Bacteria; Bacillati; Bacillota; Bacilli; Caryophanales; Staphylococcaceae.